GAUGAACGCUGGCUACAGGCUUAACACAUGCAAGUCGUGGGGAAACGGCAUUAUGUGCUUGCACAUUCUGGACGUCGACCGGCGCACGGGUGAGUAUCGCGUAUCCAACCUGCCCCUUACUUGGGGAUACCCCGUCGAAAGACGGCCUAAUACCCGAUGUGUUUCAUUGACGGCAUCCGAUAUGAAACAAAGGUUUUUCCGGUAAGGGAUGGGGAUGCGUCUGAUUAGCUUGUUGGCGGGGCAACGGCCCACCAAGGCGACGAUCAGUAGGGGUUCUGAGAGGAAGGUCCCCACAUUGGAACUGAGACACGGUCCAAACUCCUACGGGAGGCAGCAGUGAGGAAUAUUGGUCAAUGGACGCAAGUCUGAACCAGCCAAGUAGCGUGCAGGAUGACGGCCCUAUGGGUUGUAAACUGCUUUUAUGUGGGAAUAAAGUGGCGCACGUGUGCGCCAUUGCAUGUACCUCAUGAAUAAGGACCGGCUAAUUCCGUGCCAGCAGCCGCGGUAAUACGGAAGGUCCGGGCGUUAUCCGGAUUUAUUGGGUUUAAAGGGAGUGUAGGCGGUCUGUUAAGCGUGUUGUGAAAUUUAGGUGCUCAACAUUUAACUUGCAGCGCGAACUGUCAGACUUGAGUACACGCAGCGCAGGCGGAAUUCAUGGUGUAGCGGUGAAAUGCUUAGAUAUCAUGAGGAACUCCGAUCGCGAAGGCAGCCUGCGGGAGUGUUACUGACGCUUAAGCUCGAAGGUGCGGGUAUCGAACAGG
RNAcentral lists this ribosomal RNA (761 nucleotides) under Prevotella nigrescens. Its description in RNAcentral is "bacterial SSU rRNA". It matches the Rfam family "Bacterial small subunit ribosomal RNA", at positions 28 to 776 of the family's 1533-position model. Lineage: Bacteria; Pseudomonadati; Bacteroidota; Bacteroidia; Bacteroidales; Prevotellaceae. The record is from RNAcentral.